Molecule: ribosomal RNA, 291 nt
Filed under: uncultured bacterium
Lineage: Bacteria
Description: partial 16S ribosomal RNA
Rfam family: Bacterial small subunit ribosomal RNA
Source: RNAcentral
CGUCCUACGGGGGGCAGCAGUAAGGGAUAUUGGUCAAUGGGGGAAACCCUGAACCAGCAACGCCGCGUGAGGGAAGACGGUUUUCGGAUUGUAAACCUCUGUCCUCUGUGAAGAUGAUGACGGUAGCAGAGGAGGAAGCCACGGCUAACUACGUGCCAGCAGCCGCGGUAAUACGUAGGUGGCGAGCGUUGUCCGGAUUUACUGGGCGUAAAGGGAGCGUAGGCGGACUUUUAAGUGAGAUGUGAAAUACUCGGGCUCAACUUGAGUGCUGCAUUUCAAACUGGAAGUCUA